RNAcentral lists this ribosomal RNA (493 nucleotides) under uncultured bacterium. Its description in RNAcentral is "partial 16S ribosomal RNA". It matches the Rfam family "Bacterial small subunit ribosomal RNA", at positions 28 to 522 of the family's 1533-position model. The record is from RNAcentral.
GAUGAACGCUGGCGGCGUGCUUAACACAUGCAAGUCGAGCGGGAAACUUUUCAUUGAAGCUUCGGCAGAUUUGGUCUGUUUCUAGUGGCGGACGGGUGAGUAACGCGUGGGUAACCUGCCUUAUACAGGGGGAUAACAACCAGAAAUGGUUGCUAAUACCGCAUAAGCGCACAGGACCGCAUGGUCCGGUGUGGAAAACUCCGGUGGUAUAAGAUGGACCCGCGUUGGAUUAGCUAGUUGGCAGGGUAACGGCCUACCAAGGCGACGAUCCAUAGCCGGCCUGAGAGGGUGAACGGCCACAUUGGGACUGAGACACGGCCCAGACUCCUACGGGAGGCAGCAGUGGGGAAUAUUGCACAAUGGGGGAAACCCUGAUGCAGCGACGCCGCGUGAAGGAAGAAGUAUCUCGGUAUGUAAACUUCUAUCAGCAGGGAAGAUAGUGACGGUACCUGACUAAGAAGCCCCGGCUAACUACGUGCCAGCCGCCGCGUAA